UGUUAACAUCAAUAAUAGCUAAUAUCUUUCUGCAGAGAGGUUUGCAUAUGAAUACUAAACACGUAUCCCAUUUUAGUGUUUACUAUGGGCAGUCAUCAUUAUUUAUUGAAAUCAGUGUCUUCCAAGUCAUGUCAGCAUGAGCUACACAUCUCCUGCAAUGUAAUCGCCCUACUGUUUUAUGUCAUGGCAUUGGAUGUAGAUGAAGCAGAUGAACUGAGAAUGGUUGAUGAGUUCUGCAGCCACUGGGUUGUAUUUCCCAUGUAGAUGGCCUUACUCUUACGGAAGAUCUUCAUUAUCGUGAACUGCCUUUCCCCAACAUUACCCCAUGCAUAAAUAGAGCUAGCAAAAUAUAUGCUUACUCUGGACUUAUGAUGCCUUUACAGAGCAAAACAGAAAAAAAAAAAAAAAAAAAAAAAACCAAAACCCAGCCAUAAACAUACUUCUCCCUGAACUUUAAUGAGUAGCUGACAGGUUCAACACACUGAAGCUCUGAGUAUCCUUCUCUAAUAUGUGUUAAGAAUUAUGAAACUAAUUAAAAGUAUAUUUCUACUGUGCAUCAAGCCUUCAUUUUCUUGGUGUAUAGUGGUGUCAGCCUUGAGCUUCCUCGUGAUUUGUACAUCUCUGUCCUGAUUACCGGGGUGCAUACUUACUAAAGCCCUGGAGUUAAAAUUUCCCUCUCUUAACUGAACUUCAGACAUUUCUCUUUAGCUAAAUUUCGGUUAAGUUUUCUCUUCAAUGUGCUCCACCUUUUCUACCUCUGAAAACUCUCUGAGUAGUUUUUGUUGACAUGUUUGUCUCUUUGACACCCAAACUUAAUCUGUUUGUCUGACCUGAUCAUGGAGGUUUUAAGGACAUCUCUCAUAUAUCAUAGAAUUUUGUCCCUCCAUGAUUCUUGAAACUUUAUGAUAAAAUAUUCUAGUUGGUACUCGGCCUAUACUUUAGGUUUUGUUUUCACUUAAAUACUUUAUUCUUACAUUUUGUUCAUUAUGUGAAUGGAUAAGUUUUAUUUUCAGUGACUCAUUUUUUAUGAUUGUAUAGCAACCAAAAAGGCAAAAUACCUUUUUCUUAAUAAAAUAUGGUUUUCAGAAAAGAUGCCAGGACCUCUGUGUUUAAGGUAGAAAGAUGUUGAUCUAACAGAACAUCCUACUGUAAAUAUCUUCUUGACCUGAAACAGAAUGCUUUCAGUUAAUUAUGUUCAAUUCUAGCAUAAAGCAAACCAUCAUUUUCUGAAGUAGGACAGGUAGCAGAAGGUUGAAAAAUGGCAAGCAUUCCUCCCUUAGGCUGUAUUUGUUGAAAAGCACUAUCCUGCUAAUAUUAUUGGAUCAAAAUGGAGUGCCGUGUGCUAAUGAGUGAGGAAUGGAAUGAAGGUUUUAUGAAGCCAAGGCAGUGAAGAAACUGUUUUCUUUUCCCAAGACAGCUGUAGAAGGCUCACAAAGGACCCUCGUUGAAGUCUGAGGCAAAAGAUUAUAUCCACUGAGGGAACUAUGCCACUGAGACAGAUUUUUCUUUUAAAAUUUAUUUAUUUAGGGUUUGACCAGGCAAAUCUUAACAGAGACAAAAAUGAUGACUCCAUGCACCUGUUUUGAAAAUAGGAUCAUAGCCCCAUUUUAAAAUAGUGUCUCAGGGGGCCUUAUAGAGUGUGGGAAAAUUGGUGGUACCUUUCCAUUGUGUUUAUGGUUUCAUGAAGAUUCUUAGCCCAUAGGAAGCUGGGGUCAAAUUUGCUCACCUUCCUCACCCAGGGGAAGAGCACAUAGCUGGUAAUGUCAAGACUUAAGCCCUUGCCGCCAGGACUCAGAGUUUCGUUACACUCGAAAAUCCAAACAGAAAUAUGAGAAGCACUGAAGAGGUCUAAUCCCCUUACCCAACAGUCAUUCAAGAGCCAAAAAUAUUUUUUUCCAAAGGAAAUACAUUGUUUAUUUUUUUCCACAAGAUCUCAAAGUAUGUAGCAUAGAUGGCAAUAUCUAAAGAAGAGAGAUUGGGAUAUUUGCCUUCCACAGGUAAAUAUGGGGACAAGAUAUGUCUUUUGAUUUUUUUUUUUCCACACACAACUUAAGCCCCAUUUGUAAGGCCAUGUUCAAAUGACUUGUUUUGAUACUUUUUUGGUGUUAAUUUUUAUAAGAAGGUGAUAUAUUUUGAACUUCAAGUGACUAUAAAUUGAGGUGUUUAAGAUAGACUUUGCUCAUUACAACCUACUAAAACAUUACUGAGCUUAUGUGGAGGGAAUUCAGGUCUAUAACAUGUUCAAAAUCUAAAAUGGUCACUGAAGAAAGUAAAAUAAAAUGAGGCUCCAGGGGUUGUAUCCUUAAGAUAUUGUAACAGAUAAGACAAAGAAAACUCUAGUCUGAUGCUCUCUUAGUCCUGGACAUCCGCAUUGAAGUUUAGUAGGAUAGAGAUCAGAGUCUAUUAACAGCUGUAGAUGCAGACCGUACAUGGAAGGAAGAGAAAGAAAAACUUCUCUUCCUUUUAUGUUGUGAUUUAUGUUCUUUGCCCAUGAUCAAAGCCAACAGAUUUUUCAGCCAUGAGGAUCCCUAGUUCUGUAACAACCAUAUCUGUGUCCCCCAACAUUCUAAGGUUGUUCUGUAACAUCUCAGAGGGUAGCAUAUUCUUGGGAGCGCAUCCUUGCGGCGUGAAGAUCAGCUCAUUUGUGAUGAAAAUGAAUAUGCUUCAGGGGAAAGCACCGGUGAUACUUUGGGUCCAGUCAAGGAGUAUUCUAUUUCCAAGUAACUUGUAUGGAAAAUAAGCCAACUGGCUAAAGUCAGAGGAAAUCAACUCACUUAUUAUAUGAGGAGUACAUCAGGUAGCAGACAAAUUGUGCCCAUUUUCAUGUUCAUAUUUUC
Molecule: long non-coding RNA, 2837 nt
Filed under: Mus musculus (house mouse)
Lineage: Eukaryota; Metazoa; Chordata; Mammalia; Rodentia; Muridae
Description: long non-coding RNA chr16:25813528-25816365
Source: RNAcentral